Molecule: small nuclear RNA, 116 nt
Filed under: Salarias fasciatus (jewelled blenny)
Lineage: Eukaryota; Metazoa; Chordata; Actinopteri; Blenniiformes; Blenniidae
Description: U5 spliceosomal RNA (ENSSFAG00005001342.1)
Rfam family: U5 spliceosomal RNA
About the family: U5 RNA is a component of both types of known spliceosome. The precise function of this molecule is unknown, though it is known that the 5' loop is required for splice site selection and p220 binding, and that both the 3' stem-loop and the Sm site are important for Sm protein binding and cap methylation.
Source: Rfam by way of RNAcentral
UCACUCUUGUUUCUCUUCAGAUCGUAUAAAUCUUUCGCCUUUUACUAAAGAUUUCCGUGGAGAGGAACAACAAGAGUCACACCUAAUUUUUUGAUGCCCUGCUUAAAUGCGGGGCU